Long non-coding RNA from Ictalurus punctatus (channel catfish), 1474 nucleotides. The record is from Ensembl. NCBI's taxonomy places the organism in Eukaryota, Metazoa, Chordata, Actinopteri, Siluriformes, Ictaluridae.
GAGACAGAGAGAGAGGUGUUUUUGUUUUUUGGUGCAGAGGCUUCAAAAGGAAUUGUCGUGUGUCUGGAUAAUAACGUGGUAACUACAUAAUUUUUUGACAGGGAAUCCAUAAGAAUAAGCCUCAAAACUCCUAACGAGGAAAGACAAAACAGAGCACUCAUCCCAUACUACAGUGUGUAGUAUCUACAGAAAUGAUUAUAACCUACUGCAUAUGAUUAAACAGAAUGGUCCUUUUGUGUUCAUGCCACAAGAUGGCUGCGGAGUCUACGUGAGUCUCCUGAAUAAAAGAUGCUGGCCCAGAUGGAUGUUCACCGUUGGCCUCCUGCUCUCCGGUUUUGGCAAUAAACCAGAAGAAACUACAGGCGCGUGAACACACAUUCAGCCGUUCCUACUGGUGCUUGGAACAAAAGUGACUCGUGUCCUAAUCGUACUAAUGAAUCCCAAUUUACAGCUAAAUGACUUCUCAUAUGACUAGACAAAUCAUCAGUAAAGCAAGAAUCUGAUCAAUAUAUAAAAAAAAUAGAAUAAUAAUGAUGCAGUUCACAGUAGCAUGUAAUAACCAGCAGUGUUAAUGAAAACUAUUCUUGAUGAUUCAUGUGUAAGUUAUGGACAGUGGUCUCAAUAGCGAGAGAAGCUGAGGAAGUGUUCAGUAUCAGCUUUAUAAAGGAAGUGAUGCAUUAUUGAGCGAGUAAUAAGGCAGGACUGGCUGUGUGUUAUUGGAGAAUGAUUGCUCGUGUCAGAGGCUGAUAAAACAAAUGACCAGCUCUUUACCAGAUGUACAAACCUCGAGUUGUUAAAUCUCAUGUUGUUGCAAAAAAAAAAAAAGUUCUUCUUUCAAUAGAGAGAGUCAGAUAUGGCUAAAUUUCCGAGCUGUGUGAGUGAACACUAGUGGAAAAACGCAAAGAAAGAGCUUUGGCUGGUGUCAUUUUUUUUUUUAUUACUCACAAAGAAGUAGUCAAUAAAAGUAUGAAAAAGUAUGACCUCUAAUUUGUAGAUGUGAAACUCUUAACUAUAAUGGCCUGUAAGUGGAAAACGCAUUAACAAACCAUAGACCAAGCAGCAAAUCCAGAAAUACAUAAACAGAAAAAAGAAUCAAAACAGAGAAAAGAUCAGAUUCUCAUUGCUGAUUGGACACGGCAUACGCAUAGACUGUUCUGGGGAGGGGCCCUUAAAGCAGAGGGAGUUAACUCUGAAAUUAUUAUUAUGUUACAAAUAGUGACAAAGCAGCACCACAUUUUAAAAAAACAAACAAAAAAACAAAACAUUGCCCCUAACGAACUAGACCAAGUCUCCCAUGUGGAGUUGUUUUUCUAAAAGGUGGAACAAAGUGCGACUGACACUGGAGAAAUAGCAAACAAGAUACACUUUAGUUGCAUAACAUAGUCAUGUAAUGUUAUUCAAAAGAUUGGAUUUGUAUAAUGUUAACGUUAUCAUCCUUAUUAUGAGGAGUAAUUCUUCCUUCUGAAUGCAAAAU